GCCUGGCCGUAACAUAACAAUCAAAUAACCUAUUGUUCGCCAAAUAACUACGAGUGUAAACUUAAAAUUUAAAAGACUUGACGGUGCUUCACAACAACCUAGAGGAGCCUGUCUUAUAACCGAUACCCCACGAUUAACCCAACCCGCCCUAGCCCAAUCAGUCUAUAUACCGCCGUCGCCAGCUUACCUUGCAAAAGAACUAAAGUGAGCAAAACGAAUUUCUCUUCAACACGACAGGUCGAGGUGUAACCUAUGGGUGGGUAAAAGAUGGGCUACAUUUUCUAACAUAGAACACACGAAUACACUUUGAAACUAGAAACUGAAGGCGGAUUUAGCAGUAUGAUAAGAAUAGAAUGCUUAACUGAAACCAAUGCAAUGAAGUGCGUACACACCGCCCGUCAUCCCUGUCCACAACCCAUAAAAAUUCAUAAAACAACCACCACCCCACCACAGGGC
Molecule: ribosomal RNA, 456 nt
Filed under: Philodryas georgeboulengeri (Southern sharpnose snake)
Lineage: Eukaryota; Metazoa; Chordata; Lepidosauria; Squamata; Dipsadidae
Description: partial small subunit ribosomal RNA
Source: RNAcentral